RNAcentral lists this ribosomal RNA (399 nucleotides) under uncultured bacterium. RNAcentral's name for it is "bacterial SSU rRNA". It matches the Rfam family "Bacterial small subunit ribosomal RNA", at positions 358 to 773 of the family's 1533-position model. The record is from RNAcentral.
GGGAUAUUGCGCAAUGGGCGAAAGCCUGACGCAGCGACGCCGCGUGGGUGAAGAAGGGUUUCGGCUCGUAAAGCCCUUUUCUGCGUGACGCUAAUGACGGUAGCGCAGGAAAAAGUGUCGGCUAACUACGUGCCAGCAGCCGCGGUAAAACGUAGGACGCAAACGUUAUCCGGAAUUACUGGGCGUAAAGGGCGCGCAGGCGGUUGUUUAAGUUAGGCAUGAAAGCUCCCUGGCUAAACCGGGAGAGGAUGUCUGAUACUGGACGACUAGAGUACAUUAGAGGGGUGUAGAAUUCCGCGUGUAGUGGUGAAAUGCGUAGAGAUGCGGAGGAAUACCAGAGGCGAAGGCGGCACCCUGGGACGAGACUGACGCUGAGGCGCGAAAGCAUGGGUAGCGAAC